CAAUAGCGUAUAUUAAAGUUGUUGCGGUUAAAAAGCUCGUAGUUGGAUUUGUGGCGUACGGUGGGUUCCGGGCACUUGUUGUCUGAGUAACUUGCUGUUGCCAUCCUUGGGUGGAACCUGUGUGGCAUUAGGUUGUCGUGCAGGGAUGCCAUCAUUUAUCUGUGAAAAUUAGAGUGUUCAAAGCAGGCUUAUGCCGUUGAAUAUAUUAGCAUGGAAUAAUGAGAUAGGACUUUUUGCUAUUUUGUUGGUUUGCGCAAGAGGUAAUGAUUAAUAGGGACAGUUGGGGUAGUUCUGUAUUUCCAUUGUCAGAGGUGAAAUUCUUGGAUUUUUGGAAGACGAACUACUGCGAAAGCAUUUACCAAGGAUGUUUUCAUUAAUCAAGAACGAAAGUUAGGGGAUCGAAGAUGAUUAGAUACCA
This 418-nucleotide ribosomal RNA is filed under the name uncultured eukaryote. RNAcentral describes it as "SSU rRNA". It matches the Rfam family "Eukaryotic small subunit ribosomal RNA", at positions 592 to 1017 of the family's 1831-position model. The record is from RNAcentral.